CGUCCUAUUAGCUAGUUGGUGAGGUAAUGGCUCACCAAGGCUACGAUGGGUAGGGGUUCUUAGUGGAAGGUCCCCCACACUGGCACUGAGAUACGGGCCAGACUCCUACGGGAGGCAGCAGUAGGGAAUAUUGGUCAAUGGGCGCAAGCCUGAACCAGCCAUGCCGCGUGCAGGAUGAAGGCUCUCUGAGUUGUAAACUGCUUUUGUACAGGAGCAAGAAAAUCCCUGCGGGGGUUCUUGAGAGUACUGUAAGAAUAAGCACCGGCUAAUUCCGUGCCAGCAGCCGCGGUAAUACGGGAGGUGCAAGCGUUAUCCGGUUUUAUUGGGUUUAAAGGGUGCGUAGGCGGCUUAUCAAGUCAGUUGUGAAAUCCUAGUGCUUAACGCUAGAACUGCGAUUGAUACUAUU
Molecule: ribosomal RNA, 406 nt
Filed under: Candidatus Cardinium sp.
Lineage: Bacteria; Pseudomonadati; Bacteroidota; Cytophagia; Cytophagales; Amoebophilaceae
Description: bacterial SSU rRNA
Rfam family: Bacterial small subunit ribosomal RNA
Source: RNAcentral